Molecule: ribosomal RNA, 443 nt
Filed under: uncultured bacterium
Lineage: Bacteria
Description: partial 16S ribosomal RNA
Rfam family: Bacterial small subunit ribosomal RNA
Source: RNAcentral
CCUACGGGUGGCAGCAGUGGGGAAUAUUGGGCAAUGGGCGCAAGCCUGACCCAGCAACGCCGCGUGAAGGAAGAAGGCUCUCGGGUUGUAAACUUCUUUUAUCAGGGACGAAGCAAGUGACGGUACCUGAUGAAUAAGCCACGGCUAACUACGUGCCAGCAGCCGCGGUAAUACGUAGGUGGCAAGCGUUAUCCGGAUUUACUGGGUGUAAAGGGCGUGUAGGCGGGAAAGCAAGUCAGAUGUGAAAACCAUGGGCUCAACCUGUGGCCAGCAUUUGAAACUGUUUUUCUUGAGUGCUGGAGAGGCAGACGGAAGUCCUAGUGGAGCGGUGAAAUGCGUAGAGAUUAGGAGGAACACCAGGUGCGAAGGCGGUCUGCUGGACAGCAACUGACGCUGAGGCGCGAAAGCGUGGGGAGCAAACAGGAUUAGAUACCCCGGUAGUC